RNAcentral lists this transfer RNA (73 nucleotides) under Mycetomoellerius zeteki. Its description in RNAcentral is "Trachymyrmex zeteki tRNA". It matches the Rfam family "tRNA". From Rfam's summary of the family: Transfer RNA (tRNA) molecules are approximately 80 nucleotides in length. Lineage: Eukaryota; Metazoa; Arthropoda; Insecta; Hymenoptera; Formicidae. The record is from Rfam by way of RNAcentral.
GCCUCAGUGGUCGAGUUGGAUAAGACACUCGCCUCGGAAAGAGAGGUUCCAGGUUCGAAUCCUGGCUGAGGUA